This 574-nucleotide ribosomal RNA is filed under the name Macrophomina phaseolina. RNAcentral describes it as "eukaryotic LSU rRNA". The stretch from base 215 to 368 matches the Rfam family "5.8S ribosomal RNA". The record is from RNAcentral. Lineage: Eukaryota; Fungi; Ascomycota; Dothideomycetes; Botryosphaeriales; Botryosphaeriaceae.
UCCGUAGGGGGAACCUGCGGAAGGAUCAUUAACGUGCUGAAUCGGGCUCGGUUCCGAUCCUCCCACCCUUUGUAUACCUACCUCUGUUGCUUUGGCGGGCCGCGGUCUUCCGCGGCCGCCCCCCGAUGUUUGGGGGGUGGCUAGUGCCCGCCAGAGGACUAUCAAACUCCAGUCAGUAAACGUUGCAGUCUGAAAAAAAUAUUAAAUAAACUAAAACUUUCAACAACGGAUCUCUUGGUUCUGGCAUCGAUGAAGAACGCAGCGAAAUGCGAUAAGUAAUGUGAAUUGCAGAAUUCAGUGAAUCAUCGAAUCUUUGAACGCACAUUGCGCCCCUUGGUAUUCCGGGGGGCAUGCCUGUUCGAGCGUCAUUUCAACCCUCAAGCUCUGCUUGGUAUUGGGCACCGUCCUUUGCGGGCGCGCCUCAAAGACCUCGGCGGUGGCGUCUUGCCUCAAGCGUAGUAGAAUACACCUCGCUUCGGAGCGUAAGGCGUCGCCCGCCGGACGAACCUUCUGAACUUUUCUCAAGGUUGACCUCGGAUCAGGUAGGGAUACCCGCUGAACUUAAGCAUAUCAA